GAACGCACAUUGCGCCCUCUGGUAUUCCGGAGGGCAUGCCUGUCUGAGCGUCAAUAUAACAUCAAACACCAGUUUGGUCUUGGAAGAAGAGAUGGCAACGUCUCCCUUCUGUAAAUCAUUGAGCAGCGGUCCAAGCUAUGCGACGUAGUAAGCACAAAUCUCGUCGAACUGUAGCCUUGUGACUGUUUGCCAUAACCCAAAUAUAUCAUUGUUUGACCUCAGAUCAGGUAGGGAUACCCCCUGAACUUA
Molecule: unclassified non-coding RNA, 249 nt
Filed under: uncultured fungus
Lineage: Eukaryota; Fungi
Description: sequence contains 5.8S rRNA gene
Rfam family: 5.8S ribosomal RNA (bases 1-53)
Source: RNAcentral